AGACUUUGAUCCUGGCUCAGGAUGAACGCUAGCGGCAGGCUUAAUACAUGCAAGUCGUGGGGCAGCAGGGGUAGCAAUACCCGCUGGCGACCGGCAAACGGGUGAGGAACAUGUACGCAACCUACCUUUGACUGGAGGAUAGCCCCUCGAAAGAGGGAUUAAUACUCCGUAACAUAAUGAAGUGGCAUCGCUUUAUUAUUAUAGCUCCGGCGGUUAAAGAUGGGCGUGCAGCUGAUUAGGCAGUUGGCGGGGUAACGGCCCACCAAACCUACGAUCAGUAACUGGUGUGAGAGCACGACCAGUCACACGGGCACUGAGACACGGGCCCGACUCCUACGGGAGGCAGCAGUAAGGAAUAUUGGUCAAUGGAGGCAACUCUGAACCAGCCAUGCCGCGUGAAGGAUUAAGGCCCUCUGGGUUGUAAACUUCUUUUAUAUGGGAAGAAAUGUUCUGAUUCUUCAGAGCUUGACGGUACCAUAGGAAUAAGCACCGGCUAACUCCGUGCCAGCAGCCGCGGUAAUACGGAGGGUGCAAGCGUUAUCCGGAUUCACUGGGUUUAAAGGGUGCGUAGGUGGGCAGAUAAGUCAGUGGUGAAA
Molecule: ribosomal RNA, 596 nt
Filed under: uncultured bacterium
Lineage: Bacteria
Description: bacterial SSU rRNA
Rfam family: Bacterial small subunit ribosomal RNA
Source: RNAcentral